UGCACUUUUGACGUCCAUCUGAUAAACCUUGAAUCCUUUGAAAGACGCAUAGGCUAGAAAGAUUCGAAUUGCUUCGAGACGUGCAACAGGUGCAUACACUUCGUUGUAGUCGAUCCCUUCUAUCUGACGAAAACCUUGAACGACUAAACGAGCUUUGUUCCGAAUAACCACUCCACGGUCGUCUUUCUUGCAUUUGAAGACCCAUCGAGUGCCAAUCUUCUUGUAGUUCUCAGACAAAAAUUGUCUGUAGUCUGAUUUCAGCUGAUUUUAUGUCUGCAACUGAAGAUGUGGUCUGAAGUUCUCAGGCUUUUCAACAAGCUUCCAAACACCAAGCUUGUGAAAUUGCUGUAAUUCUUCCUGC
RNAcentral lists this long non-coding RNA (361 nucleotides) under Helianthus annuus (common sunflower). RNAcentral's name for it is "sRNA HanXRQr2_Chr14g0642561". The record is from RNAcentral. Lineage: Eukaryota; Viridiplantae; Streptophyta; Magnoliopsida; Asterales; Asteraceae.